Molecule: ribosomal RNA, 253 nt
Filed under: uncultured bacterium
Lineage: Bacteria
Description: partial 16S ribosomal RNA
Rfam family: Bacterial small subunit ribosomal RNA
Source: RNAcentral
UACGUAGGGUGCAAGCGUUGUCCGGAAUUAUUGGGCGUAAAGAGCUCGUAGGCGGUUUGUCGCGUCUGCUGUGAAAUCCCACGGCUCAACCGUGGAACUGCUCGGUAUACUGCUCGUCUUGAGCCAACUAGGGGCGACCGGAACAAACGGUGGAGCGGUGAAAUGCGUAGAUAUCGUUUGGAACGCCGAUGGUGAAAACAGGUCGCUGGGGUUGUGCUGACGCUGAGACACGAAAGCCAGGGGAGCGAACGGG